GACGAACGCUGGCGGCGUGCCUAACACAUGCAAGUCGAACGGGGCAGAGAGCUUCGGCUUUCUGCUUAGUGGCGAACGGGUGAGUAACGCGUGAGGAACCUGCCUCUCAGUGGGGGACAACAGUUGGAAACGACUGCUAAUACCGCAUAACACAGCGAAACCGCAUGGUUUUGCUGUCAAAGCUUUAUGUGCUGAGAGAUGGCCUCGCGUCUGAUUAGCUAGUUGGCGGGGUAACGGCCCACCAAGGCGACGAUCAGUAGCCGGUCUGAGAGGAUGAACGGCCACAUUGGGACUGAGAUACGGCCCAGACUCCUACGGGAGGCAGCAGUGGGGAAUAUUGGGCAAUGGGGGAAACCCUGACCCAGCAACGCCGCGUGAAGGAAGAAGGCCUGGUGUAACGUCUUUAGUCAGGACGAA
Molecule: ribosomal RNA, 417 nt
Filed under: uncultured bacterium
Lineage: Bacteria
Description: bacterial SSU rRNA
Rfam family: Bacterial small subunit ribosomal RNA
Source: RNAcentral